This 350-nucleotide ribosomal RNA is filed under the name uncultured eukaryote. Its description in RNAcentral is "SSU rRNA". It matches the Rfam family "Eukaryotic small subunit ribosomal RNA", at positions 567 to 931 of the family's 1831-position model. The record is from RNAcentral.
CCAGCAGCUGCGGUAAUUCCAGCUCCAAUAGCGUAUAUUAAAGUUGUUGCAGUUAAAAAGCUCGUAGUUGGACCUUAGGCAAGGCGGCCUGGUCACCCUCUGGGUGUACUGGGAUCGCUGCGCCUCACCUUCGGGGAGCUAGUCGUGCUUCGGUGCGCUAGGGAACCGAGCCUUACCUUGAGGAAAUUAGAGUGUUUAAAGCAGGCUUAUGCUUGAAUACGUUUGCAUGGAAUAACAUGAUAGGACUUUGGUCUUAUUUCGUUGGUUUCUAGGACCUAAAGUAAUGAUUAAUAGGAACGGUCGGGGGUAUUAGUAUUGAAUUGUCAGAGGUGAAAUUCUUGGAUUUAUUC